Molecule: ribosomal RNA, 1738 nt
Filed under: Clostridioides difficile
Lineage: Bacteria; Bacillati; Bacillota; Clostridia; Peptostreptococcales; Peptostreptococcaceae
Description: bacterial LSU rRNA
Rfam family: Bacterial large subunit ribosomal RNA
Source: RNAcentral
CUUACAAGCUGUGGAAGCACAUUUCUUGUGUGACCGCGUACUUUUUGUAGAACGGGCCAACGAGUUACGUUAAGUAGCAAGGUUAAGCACUUAAGGUGCGGAGCCGUAGCGAAAGCGAGUUUUAACUGAGCGUUCAGUUACUUGACGUAGACCCGAAACCGGGCGACCUACCCAUGAGCAGGAUGAAGCGAAAGUAAAAUUUCGUGGAGGUCCGAACCCACGAGCGUUGAAAAGCUCGGGGAUGACUUGUGGGUAGCGGUGAAAUUCCAAUCGAGCCCGGAGAUAGCUGGUUCUCCCCGAAAUAGCUUUAGGGCUAGCCUCAAGGUGAGAGAUACGGAGGUAGAGCACUGAAUGUCCUAGGGGGUAUUGCACCUACCGAAGACUAUCAAACUCCGAAUGCCGUCAUCUUAUACUUGGGAGUCAGACUGUGGGUGAUAAGAUUCAUAGUCGAAAGGGCAACAGCCCAGAUCGUCAGCUAAGGUCCCUAAAUGUAAGUUAAGUGGUAAAGGAUGUGGGAUUGCACAGACAACCAGGAUGUUGGCUUAGAAGCAGCCACUCAUUCAAAGAGUGCGUAAUAGCUCACUGGUCGAGUGAUCCUGCGCCGAAGAUUUCCGGGGCUAAAACUUACUACCGAAGCUACGGCAUCAGUAAUGAUGGGUAGGGGAGCUUCCCAUACGGGUUGAAGCAUGACCGUAAGGACAUGUGGACAGUAUGGGAGUGAGAAUGUUGGCAUGAGUAGCGAGAUGUGGGUGAGAAUCCCACAGGCCGUAAACCCAAGGUUUCCAGGGGAAGGUUCGUCCGCCCUGGGUUAGUCGGGACCUAAGCUGAGGCCGAAAGGCGUAGGUGAUGGACAACAGGUUGAUAUUCCUGUACUACCGAUAACCGUUUGAGAGAAGGGAUGACACAGUAGGAUAAGCUAAGCACACUGUUGGUUAUGUGUGCCCAAGCAUUGAGGCAGUCAAAGUAGGCAAAUCCGCUUUGAUAAUGCUGGGAUGUGAUGGGGAGCGAAAUUUAGUAGCGAAGUAGCUGAUUUCACACUGUCAAGAAAAGUCUCUAUCGAGGUUAAAGGUACCCGUACCGCAAACCGACACAGGUGGGUGAGGAGAGUAUCCUAAGGCCAGCGAGAGAACUGUUGUUAAGGAACUCGGCAAAAUGACCCCGUAACUUAGGGAUAAGGGGUGCCACCAUCAGGUGGCCGCAGAGAAUAGGCCCAAGCGACUGUUUACCAAAAACAUAGGUUUCUGCUAAGUCGCAAGACGAUGUAUAGGAGCUGACGCCUGCCCGGUGCUGGAAGGUUAAGGGGAUCUGUUAGAGCAAUCGAAGCAGUGAACUUAAGCCCCAGUAAACGGCGGCCGUAACUAUAACGGUCCUAAGGUAGCGAAAUUCCUUGUCGGGUAAGUUCCGACCCGCACGAAAGGCGUAACGAUUUGGGCACUGUCUCAACAACAGACUCGGUGAAAUUGUAAUUCCGGUGAAGAUGCCGGAUACCUGCGACAGGACGGAAAGACCCCAUGGAGCUUUACUGUAGCUUGACAUUGGGUCUUGGUACUACAUGUACAGGAUAGGUGGGAGGCUUUGAAACCAGGACGCCAGUUUUGGCGGAGCCAUCCUUGGGAUACCACCCUUGUAGUACCUGUCUCUUAUACACAUCUCCGAGCCCACGAGACCGAGGCUGAUCUCGUAUGCCGUCUUCUGCUUGAAAAAAAAAAAAAAAUAAAAACUAGCCUCUGGAAUAGGU